UUAGAGGCAGUGUUAUGCAUACAGCGAUGUAAAGAAAAGCUUCUUCGUCUCCUUAAAGACGUGGAAAAACUGUCUCUGUGUCAAGUGAUGUCAUCGCUUUAUUUGAGAAAUAGAUUUAGAAAAUUCAAACCAUAAAAAGGAAAUAAACCACACUCUUUUGUGCAACUUUGGGGUCGGCACUUUCAGCCAGGGAAAGCAUGAAGAGAGCACAUUUUGGCUAAGGUAGGGAUCCCUGUAAGAUAUAUUAUUGUUCAAAAGUUUGGGGUUGGUAAGAUUUUUUUUAACCUUAUUAAAAGAAGUCUCUUGUGCUCAACAAGGCUACAUUUAUUUGAUAAAAACUACAGUAAGAACAAACAAUCACAUGUAAUGUCAUAAAGUCCAAAAUCUGUUUAUUUACAUGUUUAAAUCAAAUUACACAUUUUCAGUGUGGCUUUAUUGCAAUACCUGAAUGCAUUGUAAUCUUAUUUCCCAUUCCGCCAGGCCAAAGUUUUGAGACUUUGAACAGUUUAUUUGGAGUGGGACUGUCAGAAGUACCUGGAGAAAGCUCUUCAUGCUGUGUGCUUGGCUAAUAAGGAGCAUAUGCAGCUGUCAGGCCUUUAGCUGAAGAUUCGUAUCCUAGUUAAAAGCCGCAGCCCAGAUGAUGCACCAGGCAUUACAGAAACACUGACAUGUUGCUGUAUCAGGGAGGUUCUGGCCUUUGACUUCCUGAAGAGGGUGUGUCAGUACUUUGAGUCAUCUCUUGAACUGGGCUCUGCUCUGCUCAUGCAUAUAGAGCUGCUGCUGGCCAAGCGGAAGACUGGUUGUGCUUGAUUGAUUGUGAUGAAGUUGUCUUUUCUAACUCUUAGCGUGGAACUCGGUCCUGCAAUGUGAGCACAGUUCUGUGAGGAUGAGCGAUUUCUUUCUUCUCUCCUUCCAGCCAGAGGACUUUCCAGAACUGGAGACCCUGUGGUUGCUGACCCGAGCGUGGAAUACGGGAAUCCUACUCUACAGUCUGGCCCAGUAUCCCAAGGCUGAGAGGUGGUGCAGGCUGGGAAUGAGCUUCCUGAAGCACCUGGGCUCCCUGCAGGACAGCUAUCAGACUCCGUCAGGUGCGCAAGCUGCUUCUUUUGUCACCUCAGUGGGAGGCUUAAUUAGAGCAGCAGGAUGGUUACAGCUAUGUGGAUGGCAGGUCUGUACAGUGAGGUGUUGGACAGGCUGGAUAAAGCAAAGAAUCAUCUCAUUAUUGAAGAAUGAAUGA
Cyprinus carpio (common carp) is the source of this 1237-nucleotide long non-coding RNA. NCBI's taxonomy places the organism in Eukaryota, Metazoa, Chordata, Actinopteri, Cypriniformes, Cyprinidae. The record is from Ensembl.